GGCGCACGGUGAAUGCCUAGGCACUAACAGCCGAAGAAGGACGUGACGAACUACGAAAAGCUUCGGGGAGCGGUAAGUACGCAGUGAUCCGGAGAUAUCCGAAUGGGGGAACCCAAUGCAGAGAUGCAUUAUUGAUUAGUGAAUAGAUAGCUAAUCAAAGGAAGACGCAGUGAACUGAAACAUCUAAGUAGCUGCAGGAAGAGAAAGAAAGAUCGAUUUCCUUAGUAGCGGCGAGCGAAGAGGAAAGAGCCCAAACCAAGUGAUUUAUCAUUUGGGGUUGUAGGACUGCGACGUGGCAGUGUAAGAGAUAGUUGAAUUAUCUGGGAAGGUAAGCCAGAGAGGGUGAGAGCCCCGUAAGCGAAAUCUCAAGCACGCCUAGCAGAAUCCUGAGUAGGCCGGGACACGAGGAAUCCCGGUUGAAACCGCGAGGACCAUCUCGCAAGGCUAAAUACUAGUUAGUGACCGAUAGUGAACCAGUACCGUGAGGGAAAGGUGAAAAGAACCCCGGAAGGGGAGUGAAAUAGAACAUGAAACCGUAAGCUUACAAGCAGUAGAAGGACGACUAAUCGUUUGACUUCGUGCAUGUUGAAGAAUGAGCCGGCGACUUAUAGGCAGUGGCAGGUUAAGAUAGAGAAUAUUAAAGCCAUAGUGAAAGCGAGCCUUAAUAGGGCGUAAGUCACUGUUUAUAGACCCGAACCCGGAUGAUCUAGCCAUGGCCAGGGUGAAGCUUAGGUAACACUAAGUGGAGGUCCGAACCGACUGAUGUUGAAAAAUCAGCGGACGAGCUGUGGCUAGGGGUGAAAUGCCAAUCGAAUCCGGAGCUAGCUGGUUCUCCCCGAAAUGCGUUUUGGCGCAGCGGUUGGUGCUUAAGCUUAGGGGUAAAGCACUGUUUCGGUGCGGGCUGUGAGAACGGUACCAAAUCGAGGCAAACUCUGAAUACUAAGUGUGUAGCCAACCAGUGAGACAGUGGGGGAUAAGCUUCAUUGUCAAAAGGGAAACAGCCCAGACCACCAGCUAAGGCCCCUAAAUAAUUGCUAAGUGAUAAAGGAAGUGGAAAUGUUUAGACAACCAGGAGGUUUGCUUAGAAGCAGCAAUCCUUUAAAGAGUGCGUAAUAGCUCACUGGUCUAAUGAUUCUGCGCCGAAAAUGAACGGGGCUAAGCAAUUUGCCGAAGCUGUGGGAUGUUAUUACAUCGGUAGGGGAGCGUUCUGUUAUAGAUUGAAGCACUAGCGUAAGCGGGUGUGGACUAAGCAGAAGUGAGAAUGUCGGCUUGAGUAGCGAAAACAUUGGUGAGAAUCCAAUGCCCCGAAAACCUAAGGGUUCCUUUGCAAGGUUCGUCCACGAAGGGUGAGUCAGGUCCUAAGGCGAGGCUGAAAAGCGUAGUCGAUGGGUAACAGGUUAAUAUUCCUGUACUAUUUUUUAUUGGUAACGAGGGACGGAGAAGGCUAAAUCAGCCGGAUGUUGGUUACUGGUUUAAAUUUUUGAAGGUGAUGAAAGAUGGCGAAAACAUCUUGAGCUAAAAAAUGAAUACAAGCCACUAAGGUGGUAAAGUGAUUGAUGUCAUACUUCCUAGAAAAGCUCGAAAUAUCUUAAAUAAAAAAUACCUGUACCCUAAACUGACACAAGUAGGUAAGUAGAGUAUACUAAGGGGCGCGAGAUAACUCUCUCUAAGGAACUCGGCAAAAUAGCCCCGUAACUUCGGAAGAAGGGGUGCCCUUGUAGGGCUGCAAUAAAUAGACCCAAGCGACUGUUUAUCAAAAACACAGGUCUCCGCUAAGUCGCAAGACAAUGUAUGGGGGCUGACGCCUGCCCAGUGCCGGAAGGUUAAGGAAGCUGGUUAGUCAUUGGCAAAGCUAGUAACUGAAGCCCCGGUGAACGGCGGCCGUAACAAUAACGGUCCUAAGGUAGCGAAAUUCCUUGUCGGGUAAGUUCCGACCUGCACGAAAGGUGUAAUGAUUUGGGCACUGUCUCAACGAGAGACUCGGUGAAAUUAUAAUACCCGUGAAGAUGCGGGUUACCCGCGACAGGACGGAAAGACCCCAUGGAGCUUCACUGUAGCUUGAUAUUGAGUAUCUUUUAAACAUGUACAGGAUAGGUAGGAGCCAGAGAAGAUAGGACGCUAGUCUUAUUGGAGGCAAUGUUGGGAUACUACCCUUGUUUGAAGGAUGCUCUAACCUCGACCUGUAAGCCAGGCCAGGGACAGUGUCAGGUGGGCAGUUUGACUGGGGCGGUCGCCUCCUAAAGUGUAACGGAGGCGCUCAAAGGUUCCCUCAGAAUGGUUGGAAAUCAUUCGCAGAGUGUAAAGGUAUAAGGGAGCUUGACUGCGAGAGAGACAACUCGAGCAGGUAGGAAACUAGGACUUAGUGAUCUGGUGGUACCGUAUGGAAGGGCCAUCACUCAACGGAUAAAAGGUACUCUGGGGAUAACAGGCUUAUCUCGCCCAAGAGUUCAUAUCGACGGGGGUGUUUGGCACCUCGAUGUCGGCUCAUCUCAUCCUGGGGCGGUAGUACGUCCCAAGGGUUGGGCUGUUCGCCCAUGAAAGCGGUACGCGAGCUGGGUUCAGAACGUCGUGAGACAGUUCGGUCCCUAUCCGUCGUGGGCGUAGGAAAUUUGAGAGGAGCUGUCCUUAGUACGAGAGGACCGGGAUGGACGCACCGCUGGUGUACCAGUUGUUCCGCCAGGAGCAUCGCUGGGUAGCUAUGUGCGGAAGGGAUAAGCGCUGAAAGCAUCUAAGUGCGAAGCCCCCCUCAAGAUGAGAUUUCCUUUGC
Molecule: ribosomal RNA, 2767 nt
Filed under: Anguilla anguilla (European eel)
Lineage: Eukaryota; Metazoa; Chordata; Actinopteri; Anguilliformes; Anguillidae
Description: bacterial LSU rRNA
Rfam family: Bacterial large subunit ribosomal RNA
Source: RNAcentral